UUAUUAAUAAUUAUAUACAAUUAGUUAUUAAUUAAAUAUAAAAUAUUUUAUUAAAACGUUUCUCGAUCGUCUGCUUUUUGUUAUUUUUUCCUCCAUCUUGAAAGUUCUGUUACUGGAUUAAUGAGAUAUGCUUUAGUAAUUUUCUUGAAGAUUUCAAAUAAAUUUAGUGAAACGAAAAAAAUUCAACAAGUUAUCAUAGCGAAUUUACACGACUUAACAGCGAAAACUUGCAAUUAAGGAAAUGUCGGCGGACCAAAAUGGUGGCUGAGAUGAGUGGGAAAGUAAAUUGGUGGAAGUGGAAAUCUAGCAUGGGUAGAUGGGGAUAAAAUUCCGUCCAUUCCCGACUGAGAACCUAUGGAUCUACAUUCUUUUAAGAUCCUCUACUUACCUGUUGUACGGUGAAAGUUGUGCGGUUUCUUCUCUGCUUUCUUCGAACAAAUGUAUCAUCAUGU
Centruroides sculpturatus (bark scorpion) is the source of this 452-nucleotide long non-coding RNA. RefSeq lists it as uncharacterized. The record is from RefSeq and is a predicted model, not a curated record. NCBI's taxonomy places the organism in Eukaryota, Metazoa, Arthropoda, Arachnida, Scorpiones, Buthidae. The transcript is spliced from 4 exons.